GGAGAGGUGGCAGAGUGGUCGAUUGCGGCAGUCUCGAAAACUGUUGAACCUUCACGGGUUCCGGGAGUUCGAAUCUCCCCCUCUCCGCCA
This 90-nucleotide transfer RNA is filed under the name Acidobacteriota bacterium. RNAcentral's name for it is "tRNA-Ser". It matches the Rfam family "tRNA". Rfam says of the family: Transfer RNA (tRNA) molecules are approximately 80 nucleotides in length. Their secondary structure includes four short double-helical elements and three loops (D, anti-codon, and T loops). Further hydrogen bonds mediate the characteristic L-shaped molecular structure. tRNAs have two regions of fundamental functional importance: the anti-codon, which is responsible for specific mRNA codon recognition, and the 3' end, to which the tRNAs corresponding amino acid is attached (by aminoacyl-tRNA synthetases). tRNAs cope with the degeneracy of the genetic code in two manners: having more than one tRNA (with a specific anti-codon) for a particular amino acid; and 'wobble' base-pairing, i.e. permitting non-standard base-pairing at the 3rd anti-codon position. RNAcentral also lists the same sequence under 1 other name. Lineage: Bacteria; Pseudomonadati; Acidobacteriota. The record is from RNAcentral.